Trichonephila clavipes is the source of this 72-nucleotide non-coding RNA. Lineage: Eukaryota; Metazoa; Arthropoda; Arachnida; Araneae; Nephilidae. The record is from the annotation of a GenBank genome assembly.
GCCAUCAUAGUUCAUUUGAACAACACUGGUCUGGUAAUUUAGGUGUUGUGAGUUCGAUCCUCACUGGUGGUU